This 393-nucleotide ribosomal RNA is filed under the name uncultured soil bacterium. Its description in RNAcentral is "bacterial SSU rRNA". It matches the Rfam family "Bacterial small subunit ribosomal RNA", at positions 258 to 688 of the family's 1533-position model. The record is from RNAcentral.
UAAUGGCUCACCAAGGCGACGAUCGGUAGCUGGUCUGAGAGGAUGACCAGCCUCACUGGGACUGAUACACGGCCCAGACUCCUACAGACAGAGAGAAUAUUGGACAAGGGGCGCAUGCCUGAUCCAAGACGUUUGAGUGACGAAGGCCUUAGGGUUGUAAAACUCUUUCGCCGGGGACGAUGAUGGCGGUGGCCGGAGAAGAAGCUCCUGCUAACUUCGUCGCGGUUUUACGAAGGGAGCUAGCGUUGUUCGGAAUUACUGGGCGUAAAGCGCACGUAGGCGGAUUUGCCAGUCAGGGGUGAAAUCCCGAGGCUCAACCUCGGAACUGCCUCCGAUACAGCAAGUCUUGAGGAUGAGAGAGGUUGGUGGAAUUCCUAGUGUAGAGGUGAAAUU